GAUGAACGCUGGCGGCGUGCCUAAUACAUGCAAGUCGAGCGGACCAAAGAGAGCUUGCUCUCUGAGGUUAGCGGCGGACGGGUGAGUAACACGUGGGUAACCUGCCUGUAAGACGGGGAUAACUUCGGGAAACCGAAGCUAAUACCGGAUGAUAAAGAGAAACGCCUGUUUCUUUUUUGAAAGUCGGCCUUGUGCUGACGCUUACGGAUGGGCCCGCGGCGCAUUCGCUAGUUGGUGAGGUAACGGCUCACCAAGGCGACGAUGCGUAGCCGACCUGAGAGGGUGAUCGGCCACACUGGGACUGAGACACGGCCCAGACUCCUACGGGAGGCAGCAGUAGGGAAUCUUCGGCAAUGGACGAAAGUCUGACCGAGCAACGCCGCGUGAGCGAUGAAGGCCUUCGGGUCGUAAAGCUCUGUUGUCAGAGAAGAACAAGUACCGGAGUAACUGCCGGUACCUUGACGGUACCUGACCAGAAAGCCACGGCUAACUACGUGCCAGCCGCCGCGGUAA
This 513-nucleotide ribosomal RNA is filed under the name uncultured bacterium. Its description in RNAcentral is "partial 16S ribosomal RNA". It matches the Rfam family "Bacterial small subunit ribosomal RNA", at positions 28 to 523 of the family's 1533-position model. The record is from RNAcentral.